AGCCUUCUAAAAACAUUCUCAGCUGAAAUCAAGUAAGAUAUGGAGAAGAAAACUUUUGGGUUUUUCUUUGUGGUUCUCUUGAUUUUUGCCUCACAAAUGGGAAUAAUGAUGCCACAAGUAGAAGCAAGAGUUUGUAUGUCACCUAGCCAUAGCUAUCAUGGUCCUUGUUGGCAUGAUCACAAUUGUGCUCUUGUUUGUAGAAAUGAAGGCUUCUCUGGUGGUGAUUGUGUUGGUAUCCAACGCAAGUGCUAUUGUACUAAACUCUGUUAGUUUUUUUUUACCCAAUGUGGUGUCAAUCUGUCAGGGAUCUGUUUUGGAGUUUGACUAAUUUCGAAUUCAUGCAAGGAAGAUAUGCUGAUUUUUGUUUUCUUU
Molecule: long non-coding RNA, 372 nt
Organism: Solanum dulcamara
Lineage: Eukaryota; Viridiplantae; Streptophyta; Magnoliopsida; Solanales; Solanaceae
Exons: 2
Source: RefSeq, a predicted model, not a curated record